UGGCUGGCGAACCAGGCAGCGUGCUGCUGCGCGGCCUGGGGCGUGAGACUCAAAUCAGCCAGCUAAACAUGUAGAUCUACCUGGCGAAGGCUUGCGGACGGGGGUUCAAUUCCCCCCGGCUCCACCA
This 127-nucleotide transfer-messenger RNA is filed under the name Vitreoscilla sp. RNAcentral's name for it is "partial transfer-messenger RNA". It matches the Rfam family "transfer-messenger RNA", at positions 236 to 374 of the family's 374-position model. Rfam says of the family: Bacterial tmRNA, also known as 10Sa RNA or SsrA, is named for its dual tRNA and mRNA-like properties. Its role is to liberate the mRNA from a stalled ribosome. To accomplish this part of the tmRNA is used as a reading frame that ends in a translation stop signal. Lineage: Bacteria; Pseudomonadati; Pseudomonadota; Betaproteobacteria; Neisseriales; Neisseriaceae. The record is from RNAcentral.